CCUACGGGCGGCAGCAGUGAGGAAUAUUGGUCAAUGGGCGCGAGCCUGAACCAGCCAAGUAGCGUGAAGGAUGACUGCCCUACGGGUUGUAAACUUCUUUUUUAAAGGAAUAAAGUGAGGCACGCGUGCCUUUCUGUAUGUACUUUAUGAAUAAGGAUCGGCUAACUCCGUGCCAACAGCCGCGGUAAUACGGAGGAUCCGAGCGUUAUCCGGAUUUAUUGGGUUUAAAGGGGGCGUAGCUGGGUUGUUAAGUCAGUUGUGAAAGUUUGCGGCUCAACCGUAAAAUUGCAGUUGAUACUGGCAGUCUUGAGUACAGUUGAGGUAGGCUGAAUUCGUGGUGUAGCAGUGAAAUGCUUAGAUAUCACGAAGAACACCGAUUGCGAAGGCAGCUUACUAAACUGCAACUGACAUUGAUGCUCGAAAGUGUGGGUAUCAAACAGGAUUAGAUACCCUUGUAGUC
RNAcentral lists this ribosomal RNA (460 nucleotides) under uncultured bacterium. Its description in RNAcentral is "partial 16S ribosomal RNA". It matches the Rfam family "Bacterial small subunit ribosomal RNA", at positions 338 to 795 of the family's 1533-position model. The record is from RNAcentral.